RNAcentral lists this unclassified non-coding RNA (201 nucleotides) under plant metagenome. RNAcentral's name for it is "partial contains small subunit ribosomal RNA, internal transcribed spacer 1, and 5.8S ribosomal RNA". The record is from RNAcentral.
UCUCCGUUGGUGAACCAGCGGAGGGAUCAUUAUCGAGUUUAUAACUCCCAAACCCUAUGUGAACUUACCACUUGUUGCUUCGGCGCGCGCUUCGGCGCCGCCGAGGACACUUAAACUCUUUGUUUUUAUAAGCAUUUCUGAGUGGCCGAAAGGCAAAAUACAAAUGAAUCAGAACUUUCAACAACGGAUCUCUUGGUUCUG